GUGGGGAAUUUUGGACAAUGGGCGCAAGCCUGAUCCAGCAAUGCCGCGUGCAGGAAGAAGGCCUUCGGGUUGUAAACUGCUUUUAUACGGGAAGAAAAAAUACUACGUGUAGUAUACUGACGGUACCGUAAGAAUAAGGAUCGGCUAACUCCGUGCCAGCAGCCGCGGUAAUACGGAGGAUCCAAGCGUUGUCCGGAUUUAUUGGGUUUAAAGGGUGCGUAGGCGGAUCUUUAAGUCAGUGGUGAAAGCCUGCAGCUUAACUGUAGAAUUGCCAUUGAAACUGAAGAUCUUGAAUGUGGUUAAAGUAGGCGGAAUGUAUCAUGUAGCGGUGAAAUGCUUAGAUAUGAUACAGAACACCGAUAGCGAAGGCAGCUUGCUGAACCAUUAUUGACGCUGAGGCACGAAAGCGUGGGGAGCGAACAGGAUUAGAAACCCGGGUAGUCC
Molecule: ribosomal RNA, 444 nt
Filed under: uncultured bacterium
Lineage: Bacteria
Description: partial 16S ribosomal RNA
Rfam family: Bacterial small subunit ribosomal RNA
Source: RNAcentral